This 67-nucleotide transfer RNA is filed under the name Sinopodisma wulingshanensis. RNAcentral describes it as "tRNA-Pro". Lineage: Eukaryota; Metazoa; Arthropoda; Insecta; Orthoptera; Acrididae. The record is from RNAcentral.
UCAGGAGUUAGUUUAUUAAAAUAUUGGUUUUGGGGACCAAGGAUAGAAAUUAUUUUCUAUUCCUGAA